RNAcentral lists this ribosomal RNA (497 nucleotides) under uncultured bacterium. RNAcentral describes it as "partial 16S ribosomal RNA". It matches the Rfam family "Bacterial small subunit ribosomal RNA", at positions 28 to 507 of the family's 1533-position model. The record is from RNAcentral.
GAUGAACGCUGGCGGCGUGCCUAAUACAUGCAAGUCGAGCGAACAGACGAGGAGCUUGCUCCUCUGACGUUAGCGGCGGACGGGUGAGUAACACGUGGAUAACCUACCUAUAAGACUGGGAUAACUUCGGGAAACCGGAGCUAAUACCGGAUAAUAUAUUGAACCGCAUGGUUCAAUAGUGAAAGACGGUUUUGCUGUCACUUAUAGAUGGAUCCGCGCCGCAUUAGCUAGUUGGUAAGGUAACGGCUUACCAAGGCAACGAUGCGUAGCCGACCUGAGAGGGUGAUCGGCGACACUGGAACUGAGACACGGUCCAGACUCCUACGGGAGGCAGCAGUAGGGAAUAUUCCGCAAUGGGCGAAAGCCUGACGGAGCAACGCCGCGUGAGUGAGGAAGGUCUUCGGAUCGUAAAACUCUGUUAUUAGGGAAGAACAAAUGUGUAAGUAACUAUGCACGUCUUGACGGUACCUAAUCAGAAAGCCACGGCUAACUACGUG